RNAcentral lists this ribosomal RNA (502 nucleotides) under Ocellularia fuscosporella. Its description in RNAcentral is "eukaryotic LSU rRNA". It matches the Rfam family "Eukaryotic large subunit ribosomal RNA", at positions 149 to 665 of the family's 3401-position model. The record is from RNAcentral. Lineage: Eukaryota; Fungi; Ascomycota; Lecanoromycetes; Ostropales; Graphidaceae.
UUUGUAGAAGGUGCUUCGGGUAAGGCCCCGGUCGAAGUCCCUUGGAACAGGGCGUCGCAGAGGGUGAGAAUCCCGUACGCGGCCGAUGGUCAAGCCCGUGUGAAGCCCUUUCGACGAGUCGAGUUGUUUGGGAAUGCAGCUCUAAAUGGGUGGUAAAUUUCAUCUAAAGCUAAAUAUCUGCCGGAGACCGAUAGCGCACAAGUAGAGUGAUCGAAAGAUGAAAAGCACUUUGAAAAGAGAGUCAAACAGUACGUGAAAUUGUUGAAAGGGAAGCGCUUGCAACCAGACUCGUUCGCGGGUGUUCAGCCGUCCCUCGGGGCGGUGCACUCUCCCGCGUUUCGGGCCAGCAUCGGUUCUGGCGGCCGGAUAAAGGCCUUGGGAAUGUAGCUCUCUUCGGGGAGUGUUAUAGCCUGGGGUGCAAUGCGGCCAGCCGGGACCGAGGACCGCGCAUCAGCUAGGAUGUUGGCGUAAUGGUUGCCAGCGACCCGUCUGAAACCACGGA